CAUCAUGUUUUAAAUUCAAAUGAAAUUUGAAUUGAGGGAUUUUCAAAGCCUCAGAAACCUUCUAAAAAUGAUCCACAUUAAAAUCUUCUCAAAGAAGUCCAAGAAAAUGUUCCUCUUAGUCUCUGAAAAUAUUGCAAAGAGGUAAAACUCAAAACAAUAUUUUUGGUAUCUCAGAGUUAAUCAUUUUGGGCCUUUGAAUUAAAUAAAUAACUAUUUGCAUUGGAUAUAUAUUUCUUAAUUAAUUAAUAUAUGUCCAAUAAUUUUGAUCUUUGAUGAAGGGCUUUGGAAUAAUCCUACUAGUCCCUACCAUAAUUAUCAGAAGCAAUAAAAAUGAUUUAGUGUCUAAAACUAAAUCAAAACAAACUACAGAAAAUAGAAAACAGAAUUAAAUAGAAAUAAGAGAGAGAGAGAGAAGGAACUUACCUGACGCUUACCUGAGGCCCACCCACCUGGCGGCCCAACACUGUUGGCCCAGCCCAUCUCUCCUCCCCUGUCGUCUUCCUCCCUCGCCAGAAGGACAGAGGCGAGGCGUGGCGAGCGCCGACGCCGCCCCGGCCACCUCCUACUUGCCGCUUCGCCCUGGCCUCUUCGGGUGAAGCCACGCAGCCCCCUCGCUCCUCUCUCUCACUCUCUCCCGACCCCUUCUCCCUUCUCUGCUCUCCCCCUCUCGCGACCGAGCGCGCUCGUCGCCGCCGUCCACCGCCACCACGGCCACCGGGCCUCCCUCGCUUCCCCGACCAGCCCACCAGCUCCGCCACUCCGUCCUCGACCCACCUCACCGAGCCACGCCCCUCCAGAAGCCCCCGAACGACCUCAUCGGGCUCGUCUUCUACCUCGGACCCGCCGGCCAUCACCGUCAAAUUCGUCGGCUCCGGACCGUCCCCGACCUCGCCGAGCGUUCCAUCAUCAUCGCCGUGAGCUCCUGCUCCUGCUCCCCCUCUCCGCUCCCUCUCUCGCACGCUGUAGCUGCCGCACCACAUCCAACCGCACGCGCCGCCGCCCGCACUCGUCGCCGGUGAUGCUCCGGUGACCAUUUGGUCCCGGGCAUGCGCCCAACGCGCUCCUCGCAUCGCGUAGAGCCUCCGAGGCACCUCGCCGCGCUCGUUUGCGCACCGCAGCCCCAUCCCCAGUUGCACCCGAGCUUCGGCCGCCGCCGAGCUCGUCGCCGGCGCCGAUUCCGGCCGCCCCGACCCCAACCGACUCCACCAGAAGUUGCGGCAUGUUCCCAGCUACCCAUAGCCACCCUCCGCGGCUCGUUUGGUUGCCGAAACGGCCAAAACCACUCUCGCCGCCGCGUCGGGCUCGCCGUCGGCUAAACGCCGGCGACCGUUGACCCUUGACCGGCGUGGGUUGACCCCACUGCCCGGUUUGACUCUCCCCUCUCUCCCACUGACAUGCGGGCCCCGCCCGGCUAACCAAGUUAGUUAGGGUUAAUUUUAAUUAGGUUAGUUAGUCCAGACACUGACACGCAGGGCCCACAGGUCAGUUUGACCUGGACGGCGCCCGUUGACCUGCUGAGGUCAGCAUGAGGUCAUGCUGACGCAAUAAUUCCUUUCUGGAAUUAAAAUAAAUUAGGAAAUGAUUUAUAAAUUCUAGAAAAUUGUAUAAACUUCUAAAAUUCAUAGAAAUUCAACCGUAACUCCAAAUUAAAUAAAUUAUAUAUGAAAAAUUAUCAGAAAAAUUCAAGGAAUCCAUCUAAACCAUUUUCAUGCAUGUUCGAACAAUGUUUGUCCUCUGUUUUGGACAAAACAAAUAAAUGGCAUUUAAACUCUCACAUAUGGAGUUUGAAUUUGAAUCUUGUAUUCAAACCAACUUCAUUUAAAUCAUAGCUAAGUGCAUUAGCCCAAAACACAUUCAUAUUGCCAUGUCAUGAGCAUGCAUCAUAUUGUGCAUUGCAUUGAUUGUAUUUCUUCUUUGUUGCCGGUAUCUGUUCCCUCCCGGUAGACGAUGUUCCGACGUUGUGAUCGUUGACACUGAUGAAGACUCAAUGUUAUCUUCAGAAGUGCCAGGCAAGCAAAACCCCCUUGUUCAUUCUGAUACAAUCCCACUCUCUCGCUCCUGCUCUCUUUUACUGCAUUAGGACAACAACGAUUCAACUGUUACUUGCUGCGGUAGCUGAACCCCUUUAUCCUCUGCAUGACCUGUCAUUGCCACAGUAAAUAGAUGAAACCCACUAGUAUGAGUAGGAGUUGUCUGAGCCCUGUUGUGCCUACUCAUUCAUGUUUGUUUGUCAUGCCUGCUACUGCUUAGAGUUGAGUCAGGUCUGAUUCAUCGGGGAUGAAUCAGAGGUGUGUGAACAUGUCCUACUGUGUGUGAGCUAAGUGUGUGAACACGUUUUGGUAAAGGUAGCGGUGAGAGGCCAUGUAGGAGUACAUGGUGGGUUGUCUCAUUGCAGCCGUCCUCAAGAACUGAGUUCUGUGUUUGUGAUCCAUGAUUCAGCUACUACCAUACAUUGGGCCCUGAAAUAUGACCCCGCUCGACUUCUUAUUCACCCUAGUCCUCUGUCCAGGAGUUGCAAGUAGUUUCUGGUGUUUGUAGCUUACUGGAGGCCGUGGACAGCGCUGACCGUAGGGGUGGGCUGUGAUGCGGUAGGUACGUGGCACGGUGUACCGGAUGCCCGUUUGGUGUCUCGGGAACCCUGUUCACAUCGUUUGGGGCUGUGAGCGAAACUCCGGCCGGAUCUCCUCAUGGAUGGAACCCGAAUAGGCGAUAAACCUGGACUAGAGACUUGAGUGUUUAGGUAGGUCGUGGUCUACACCCACGUCGGCUUUCGCUUGAAGUCUGCCGAGCACAUGUCGUGUGCAGACGCUAAGUGGUGGAAACAUGUAUGAAGAAGUACACCCCUGCAGGGUUAAUAUCAUCUAUUCGAAUAGUCGUGUCCGCGGAAAAGGACUUCUGGGUUGCCUAUAUCAGUUCAUAGACAAGUGAAAGUGGAUACUCUAAAAUACGCAAGAUAAGCGUGAGUGCUAUGGAUGGCGUUCUCGUAGGGAGACGGGAGCGGAUCCAUAGUGGUGUAUUGAUAUGGUGAAUAUGUGGACUCGUGUGCGCCACCUCAAAAGAGUCACUUGCAGUCGUAGUUUAGGAUAGCCACCGAGUCAAAGCUGGCUUGCUGCAGUUAAACCCCACCAUCCCCUUUGUUGAUAAUGAUGCAUAUGUAGUUAGUUCUGAUGUAAGUCUUGCUGGGUACAUUUGUACUCACGUUUGCCUAUUUUAUGUUUUUGCAGAGAGACUUCAGUCUCACUAGUAAUUCCGCGUGGACUUCGACGUUUAGCUUGUUACCUCAGCUACGAUCUUGUGCCUCGGCAGGAUCUGGUAGACAGUCAGGCUUUCAAGUCUUUUUCAUUUAUAGAUGUCUGUACUCAGACAUGAUAGCUUCCGCUUGUGCUUUGAUUUGUAUGCUCUGAAUGUUGGGUCGUGAGACCCCUGUUUGUAAUAUCUCGCUCCUCGGAGCCUAUUGAAUACUUACUUGUGUCGUAGAGUCAUGUUGUGAUGCCAUGUUGUAUUUGCACAUAUCGAGCAUAUUGUGUGUAUGUUAUUGAAAUGCUUGGUAUGUGUGGGAUCUGGCUAUCUAGUUGUUUAUCCUUAGUAGCCUCUCUUACCGGGAAAUGUCUCCUAGUGUUUCCACUGAGCCAUGGUAGCUUGCUACUGCUCCGGAACACUUAGGCUGACCGGCAUGUGUCCUUCUUCGUUCCUGUGUCUGUCCCUUCGGGGAAAUGUCACGCGAUGAAUACCGGAGGCCUGUUAGCCCGCUACAGCCCGGUUCACCGGAGUCCUGCUAGCCCAGUGCUACAGCCUGGAUUCACUCGCUGAUGACCGACACGUUCGAUGCUGGGUCAUGGAUGCCUGUCCCUGUAAGUUAGUGCCACUUUGGGUUUACGGCUAGCCAUGUCAGCCCGGGCUCCUUAUCAUAUGGAUGCUAGCAACACUGUCAUAUACGUGUGCCAAAAGGCGCAAACGGUCCCGGGCAAAGGUAAGGCGACACCCGUGGGAAUACCGUGCGUGAGGCCGCAAAGUGAUAUGAGGUGUUACAUGCUAGAUCGAUGUGGCAUUGAGUCGGGGUCCUGACAGCGUUGGUAUUAGAGCUUGACUGCCUGUAGGAUUACCAAGCCAAACUGGUCGAAGUUGAGUCUAGAAAUUCUUUAGUUAUAUAAGGGAAUUGAUUGUGGAAUGGAACGUAAGGCUCUUUUUACUCCUUAUACUUUAUGCCCUUCUGAUCUGAGUCAUCUUAUCUUUCCUACGGGGAUUAAGAACUAGGCUAUCUCUUCUUUCCAUCAGGAUCACGUGUUUCUAAUCUGUAGACUUGUAAGAUUGUUGGACUUAAGCCUCGUUUCAGUUCCUAUUACUUCUGUAUGUUAACUGUUGAUCUCGAAACCUUGAUAUUGUGCUUCUGAGUGGUUAUGCCACCAUUUUUGUGAAUGUCUCAAAUCUUUUCUGAGCAUUUACAGCCGUUAUGCUGUCCGAGUCAUCCCAGGUUUCCAAAGAGUCUGAUGCAUUUGCAAAAUCCUUUUCCUCUGGUUUCAAUGUCUUUUAGGCCAGGUUAAUCACACAAAUUGUUGAGUUGAGGUACUCUACUGCCUCGACCUUUAUGUUGGAGUUAUUAUUAUGACCCUAGGUGUCUCAGGGGAUCAUCUAGUAGUCUAGCCAUGUUUUGUGUCCCAGUGUGAUGAUUCUGGCUUUUAUUCUCGAAAGCAUCCCAUGAUGCCACUUAGUAGUAGGUAUUCUACCCCUUGGGUUUUGAACCCAAGAUUCACCCUACUUACUUCAUGUUGAUAGUAAUUGCUAGCUCCCUUAGGUUAUUAGUAACCUUUGCGAUAGUCCUUGAAGUCCGUGGUAUCUUCUUCUUCCAAAUACCAUGAACUACUUAUGGCAGAAGUUCCUCGUUGAACUGAACGAUCACAACCAGAGUGCUCUUGAUGAGUUCUCCAUGCUAUGUUGUGACUCUGCCAGCUCAACCUUUCUGCAUGGGUUAUCCGGAAGAAUUAUGUUGAACUUGGUUCGACAUACUAAUCUAUGCAUCCACAACUCAGGAAGUUAUAUGUUCCUUUGAGUUAUCCCUUUUUAGUUGUCUACUGACCUUCGUCUAUCAAUUGAUAGUCAAGAGUAUGCGUGCGUUCGUUUAUCGAUGCCUAUUACUCUUGUGGUCCGUCAAGCCAUUCUAUCGCGGAAUGUCUAGGAGAAACAAACUCCAGUACCUCUUCCAUAUCCAGGAUUGGGUCAAAGAAGUUGUGCUUCGCAGAUCAAAUUGCUAAUCCAGCUUUUGUUCUGCUCUACCUUGGAGUAUUACCAUCUUUAUAUCGGGAAUGUUAUAGGAAUUGCACACCACCCUAUGAACUCUUGGUACAGUGAUACUUCUUGCCAUCAUUGUUCAUUCCUCGGUUCCUGUGUUAUUGUAACCGGAAUGUCGACAAGUGAAUCGUGAUGUGUGAAAUCAAUACUCCUAGCAACCUUGUUGCUUGGUAGUUAAAGGACAAUAAUUUCAUUAUUAGCUUGUUGGUUCUUGAAUCAUCAUUCUAAGACUGUUCGUGCUACCUAGUCCUUAUUUCCGGUGCACUCUUCGAUCAAUGAGUUAGGAUUAUUCAAAUCCUUGCUUAUUUGAUCAUAUCGUCUUGCCCUGGAAAGCAAGAUUGUUCUCGAGCUUAGUAACAUACCGGUGGUUCGUGAUUUUCUGAAGAUCUUCUCGGAAGUAUUACCAGGUUGUCACCUGACCGCUGUGUUGAGCUCGUGAUCAAGUUGGUUUCUUAUGAACCACCUUCUCUCCAAGAAUCGGUGUUAGAUAUCCCUGAGCUAGUUGGUUAAGCUAGACAACAACUUGGAGAGUUGGAAGAUAAAAGCUUGUCUGACUUAGUCCGUUCCAAAGGGAUAUUCUUGUGUAGUGUGUGUUGAAGAAAGAUGAUAUCUUAGUCGAUUGGUCCCUGUGAUCAGUUGCUGGACCUAUUGUCUUAUCAAUCCUUUGAUUUGAGUGUGGGCUAUCGUCAAAUCAAAUCAGUACCAACGAUGCUCGUAAUGUUGUCUUACUCGUGGUUGAUCCCUCGAGCAUACACCAUUACAUCUUUGGUCUGACCAAUGCUAUCAUCGUGUUCGCAUGAUGGUGGAAGUCCAAUGAUAUGGAAAUUCCGAUGAGUUGUUGUUGAGCCCAUCAGUAGCAUUUUGUCUCCUCCAUGAUCUUGUUGGACAACAAGUUAGUGUUGGAAACUUUUGAAAGCAUUUUCUUCAUGCUAGCUCAUGAAGUAUUUGUUUGAUGAAAGGAGUGACUUCCUCUUAUACACGUGCAUCUGGUGAAAGUUGCUGCCGUGAAUUUGAGAAAGUUAGUUUUGCUUCCUCUGGAAUCAUCCCAAGUCAGUCAUGCAUACGUGCGAAGUAUUCUGUGGUCUGGAGACUUGCAACCUCCAUUCUAUAUGUGUCCCUAGCACACCAAGCCACUGAUUGAUUUGUUCAAGGAGAAGAAGUUCCUUCUUAAGAGUAUACCUUAUGCAAGGACUUCGAUAUCCUCGAUGAUGGAUCCCCUCCUGAACUCGGUAGUGUUUUAUUAUAAGACUACUUUGUGGUCAUGCUUGUCUUGGACAACAUGUUCACAUGUUGUAGCAGAACCAGCUCAUGUUUUGGAGCUUGCUAUCGUAAUUCAUUUCCCGAGAAUCUUGCAACGUCAUCUCGUCGAUUUGUGUUGCAAACUUUCGUUUUUCUUCCUAGACUCGAUGAGUCUGGAAUAUCCUGACACCAACCAGAUCUGAAUCUCAGGCAGAAAUGAUGGGUUGGAACAUUUCCCAAGAACUAUAAUAUUGGUCUCGCGAUAACCGGUAAAGUGGAUGUCGUGGCCAACACACCCCGCCGGAAGACCUGUUAUUAUAAUAUCUUGAUUGAGGAAGUUGGCCACCUCCCCAUAAGGAUCUCAUAGAACUUAUUCUAGUAGUUGUUCCUUAUGGAUUUCUGUGUUCCGAAGUCCGACCUUUUUACUUGAUGUUUUAGAUAUCAAACCAUAUCUAUGAAUGGGUUACACUAGCACAUCAAGGAGAACAUUAGAAGCCGAGUGCUAAAUGUCUCUCGGUCGAUCAUGCAGAUUUUGGUUCCUUGGCCUCGCUAAGGUGAAAUCUGAGAAAGUGUUAUCUUCCUUUGCAUCUGCAUCAUCCAUCAUCUUUCAUCAUGGUAGCAAGUUGUGUUGCCAGGAUCCUUGACACGGAUAUUGGUAAAACCUUGAUGAUUAUGGAAAUGCUCAAGUUCUUGAGAGCACGUAUAAGCUCUAGGUGUUAUCAGCGACACUAACUGGGAUUGCCCCAGAUUUCCUCGGUUACGCUAUAACUUCUCAAACAAUGGAUCCACUCUCUAUUGUUGGGUUCUUCCCCAGUUACCAGAAUCAUUCCCAGCAUUUGCAUUUUGUUCCCAGUUUGCACCGCCAAUGUGCCAUUCUACCAUGGGUCUCUUCCAUUUCCGGUGGUAAGCAAAUUCAUCCAUUACGUUGUCUUCAACAAGGUAAUCCACAUCAUCCAAGUCCGAGUAUACCAUUCUACCGACCCCCUCCAAACGAUCGGUCGAGAAUUGCCUUAGGUUGGUUUAAAGAGUUUCAAUGAUCUUUGAAUCAAAGGUAAUUCUUUUUGCCACUUAAGGGGAUAUAUCUACGAGUCACGGUUCCUAAGGUGUCUCGUUGUGGUAUCAUGGCAACUCAACUCCUCGCUACGUUGACAACCGUUCACCACCCUCUUAGGUGUGGAAUUGUUGCCUACCUGGUAAACCUUCGUCAUCCGUUUCACUCCAUCCCUCUAGAUGUGUGCUUCGUCUCUCAGCUCAAGAGAGGUUGCUAUGUCUUAUUCCGUGAGUUAAUCCUGAGUUGUUCGAUCUUCGAGAAGAUCGACCCUUCUAGAGUUUCCUUCUCCUCUCGUUGUCAUGUUGGUUGGAGUUUCCAGAGCAAGACGUCGAGACAAUGAUGGUGAUCAAAUCAACACUCUUAUGGAAUGCACCCUGGAUCAUGAAGAUUAUGUUAGUUGGCGUUUUCCUUUCGUCUUACCCUACGCUUAAAUCUCGGGACGAGAUUUUUGUUUAGUGGGGGUGAGUUGUCACAUCCCUGGUCCUGUUAUGCACUAGGCUAGACCUUCAUGUGAGCAUCAUGUUUUAAAUUCAAAUGAAAUUUGAAUUGAGGGAUUUUCAAAGCCUCAGAAACCUUCUAAAAAUGAUCCACAUUAAAAUCUUCUCAAAGAAGUCCAAGAAAAUGUUCCUCUUAGUCCCUGAAAAUAUUGCAAAGAGGUAAAACUCAAAACAAUAUUUUUGGUAUCUCAGAGUUAAUCAUUUUGGGCCUUUGAAUUAAAUAAAUAACUAUUUGCAUUGGAUAUAUAUUU
RNAcentral lists this long non-coding RNA (8324 nucleotides) under Triticum aestivum (bread wheat). RNAcentral describes it as "long non-coding RNA (TAES_LNC002951)". Lineage: Eukaryota; Viridiplantae; Streptophyta; Magnoliopsida; Poales; Poaceae. The record is from RNAcentral.